UGUGAUAUCAAGGGAAAACCCAAGCAAUCCUGUGCAAAGAACUUCUUGAAAAUGAGUGGGAAACUGAAGCCUCCUACCACCAAUCAGUUGGCCAUAGAUUCAUCACUGAUGUGUUGCGUACAAAACUAAAAGAUGUUCCCUGACUUAAGAAAACACUUUUUGUGCUCACUUCGGCAGCACGUAUACCAAAAUUGGAAAACACUUUUUGUCAGGUGUUUUUAAUUUGUAACUAGCUAUGUUCCAGGAGUAAAGUUGAAGCUGUGAACUUUCCAAGAAUAAAGCUGAAGCUGUGAACUGAGCC
Long non-coding RNA from Tupaia belangeri chinensis (Chinese tree shrew), 301 nucleotides. RefSeq lists it as uncharacterized. The transcript has 3 exons. The record is from RefSeq and is a predicted model, not a curated record. Lineage: Eukaryota; Metazoa; Chordata; Mammalia; Scandentia; Tupaiidae.